CGCGAAUCGCCCUUCGGGGUGCACCAGGCGCGAAAACUCUACAAUGCAGGCAACUGCGAUAGGGGAACAUCGAGUGAUACUCAUCUUGGGUGUCUGUCCUCCCGUCUAAAAAACGGGAGUUAGCAAGGGCCGGGCAAGACCGGUGCCAGCCGCCGCGGUAAUACCGGCGGCUCGAGUGGUGGCCGAUAUUAUUGAGUCUAAAGGGUCCGUAGCCGGCUUCGCAAGUCUUUUGGGAAAUCCAGCGGCUUAACCGUUGGUCGUCCGGGAGAUACUACAUUGCUUGGGGCUGGGAGAGGUAGGAGGUACUCAGGGGGUAGGAGUGAAAUCCUGUAAUCCUUUGGGGACCACCGGUGGCGAAGGCGUCCUACCAGAACAGGUCCGACGGUGAGGGACGAAAGCUAGGGGCACGAACCGGAUUAGAUACCCGGGUAGUCCUAGCCGUAAACGAUGCUCGCUAGGUGUCACAACAAUCGUGAAUUGUUGUGGUGCCGUAGGGAAGCCGUGAAGCGAGCCACUUGGGAAGUACGACCGCAAGGUUGAAACUUAAAGGAAUUGGCGGGGGAGCAC
Molecule: ribosomal RNA, 567 nt
Filed under: uncultured archaeon
Lineage: Archaea
Description: bacterial SSU rRNA
Rfam family: Archaeal small subunit ribosomal RNA
Source: RNAcentral